GACGAACGCUGGCGGCGUGCUUAACACAUGCAAGUCGAACGGAAAGGCCCUGCUUUUGUGGGGUGCUCGAGUGGCGAACGGGUGAGUAACACGUGAGUAACCUGCCCUUGACUUUGGGUUAACUUCAGGAAACUGGGGCUAAUACCGGAUAGGAGCUCCUGCUGCAUGGUGGGGGUUGGAAAGUUUCGGCGGUUGGGGAUGGACUCGCGGCUUAUCAGCUUGUUGGUGGGGUAGUGGCUUACCAAGGCUUUGACGGGUAGCCGGCCUGAGAGGGUGACCGGCCACAUUGGGAAUGAGAUACGGCCCAGACUCAUACGGGAGGCAGCAGUGGGGAAUAUUGCACAAUGGGCGGAAGCCUGAUGCAGCAACGCCGCGUGCGGGAUGACGGCCUUCGGGUUGUAAACCGCUUUCGCCUGUGACGAAGCGUGAGUGACGGUAAUGGGGAAAGAAGCACCGGCUAACUACGU
RNAcentral lists this ribosomal RNA (467 nucleotides) under uncultured bacterium. RNAcentral's name for it is "partial 16S ribosomal RNA". It matches the Rfam family "Bacterial small subunit ribosomal RNA", at positions 28 to 506 of the family's 1533-position model. The record is from RNAcentral.